GUCCAGAGCCGAUGGCCAAGAAAGAAUUCUUGAGAUGUCUUUGGUGCAAAAAGGUGGUUUUAUUAAAGCACAGGGACGGACCAUGGGCAGGAAGAGCUGCAGCCCCGGGGCUGUGAGGUUGAAUGGGGAAGAGCUCGUGUAGCCACCAACGGGGACAGGACAGAGAAAACAGGCCCUGGAGGUGCCCUGGUGGGAAGCCGGCCACCGAAAAGCUCUGCUCUCCUCUCUGCCACCUGAAAGUCACUGUGUGAUGAGGUCUUUGUCUCGGAGAGUGGGGGCUGUUCCAGGGGCGCUGGGAGACCUGCCCACACCUGGAUGAGGGGCAUUGCGAGCUGGGCAGGAAUCCAGGCACAGGAAGUGUUUGAUUUCUCUUGGACCAGAGGAGUAAGCAUCGCGCUGGGCAGGUGUGCUGCUUUCCAGUCCUCCAGCGGCCCGCAUGCCUCACGUCCCCACGUCCCCGCCGAGGCCCCCCGAGGUCCCGCUGGUGCAGGAGAAAAGAAGCCGGGGCAUUCCUGGAGUGGAGCCAGGGGCCCGGGAGGGCGGACCUGGGGCCACCUGCGGAGGAAGUGACAAGGAGGGUGGGGAGCACCUGGUGGGGUAGCUGUUGCUGGGGCUGAAUUGUGUCACCCCCAAAACUCCCCCGUUGAAGUCCUAAUUCCAGGGUGACUGGACCUGGGGACAGGCCAGGUGGGGUGGUGUUGGUGGUGACAAAGGUUAAGUGAGGUCGUGAGGUCCUGACCCAACUGGGCUGGUGCCCCUGUAAGAGGACAAGGCCCGGGUCUCGCUCGCCCUGGACGGCCCCACAGGGAGGCGGCCUCUGCCUGGUCCCCGGAACCGGCCCUGCGGCGCCGCGAUCUUGAGCCUCAGCUUCCAGAAGUGAACGAGCUCCUCCCCGGGCCCUGCGGCACUGGGCCCCACCCUCGCCCGCCACUGCCUGGGCCGCUGGUUAGAGGUGUCACCCCACGGCCGCUGAGGCCCCAGCUCCGUCCUGAGAAUGGUUGACAGGUGCGCGCGGCUGAGAAGGGAGGACCUCGAGUCCUCACCCUGGAAUGCGGCCGGUUCUCCCUCCCUCCCGUGGGUCACAGGGCAGGUGACAGCCCAGUCAGGACAAAGGCCUUCUGUGC
Molecule: long non-coding RNA, 1124 nt
Organism: Canis lupus familiaris (dog)
Lineage: Eukaryota; Metazoa; Chordata; Mammalia; Carnivora; Canidae
Exons: 3
Source: RefSeq, a predicted model, not a curated record